This 261-nucleotide ribosomal RNA is filed under the name uncultured bacterium. RNAcentral describes it as "partial 16S ribosomal RNA". It matches the Rfam family "Bacterial small subunit ribosomal RNA", at positions 92 to 354 of the family's 1533-position model. The record is from RNAcentral.
UUAGUGGCGGACGGGUGAGUAACGCGUGGAAACCUGCCGUAUACUGGGGGAUAACACUUAGAAAUAGGUGCUAAUACCGCAUAAGCGCACAGCUUCGCAUGAAGCGGUGUGAAAAACUCUGGUGGUAUACGAUGGUUCCGCGUCUGAUUAGCUAGUUGGUGGGGUAAUGGCCUACCAAGGCAACGAUCAGUAGCCGGCCUGAGAGGGUGAACGGCCACAUUGGGACUGAGACACGGCCCAAACUCCUACGGAAGGCAGCAG